This is a ribosomal RNA of Kockovaella imperatae, 119 nucleotides long. NCBI's taxonomy places the organism in Eukaryota, Fungi, Basidiomycota, Tremellomycetes, Tremellales, Cuniculitremaceae. The record is from Rfam.
AUCCACGGCCAUAGGACUCAGAAAGUACCGCAUCCCGUCCGAUCUGCGAAGUCAAGCUGAGUGCCGCCUAGUUAGUACCAUGGUGGGGGACCACAUGGGAAUCCUAGGUGUUGUGGUUU